Molecule: non-coding RNA, 115 nt
Organism: Acanthosepion pharaonis
Lineage: Eukaryota; Metazoa; Mollusca; Cephalopoda; Sepiida; Sepiidae
Source: the annotation of a GenBank genome assembly
CUUGCGGCCACAUCCCAUUGAAAUGCCGGGUCUCGUAACAUCAGCGAAGUUAAGCAACGUCGAGCCUAGUCACUACCUAGAUGGGUGACCACUUAGGAAUAACAGGAACUGUAAG